This 1127-nucleotide long non-coding RNA is filed under the name Equus asinus (donkey). RNAcentral's name for it is "lncRNA (ENSEASG00005035537.1)". The record is from RNAcentral. Lineage: Eukaryota; Metazoa; Chordata; Mammalia; Perissodactyla; Equidae.
GAGGGAAUUCUCCUGUUAAGGUGUAGUGCAAGGUCCUGGUGGGUGCUUGGGCUCAGAUUCCCAGUGGGCCGCACCAACACCUCUCCAGCAAAAAUGGAGUCCUGACGCAUACAGCCUCAUUACAGAUGGGUAGAUUGCAAGUUCAGCUCACGCCUUGACCUUGCUGACCCCUUCACAGAGAAGAUGGGACCAACUCACAAGGCCUCGUUCCUUCUUUUUGGGUGUAAGCCAGCUCCAUAGUGGGCUCACUGACACUGAGGGAGGGGGAAAUAAAGUUAUUGACCCCACCUUAACCAACACCUCCUUAUGCCUCACUGAUGCUGAUUGGGUGUGGGGCCUCAGUUCCUUACUCACUGGUGCAAGGGUAGGGAGAAGGAACACAGGAAUGCUGACUAGCACUGCCUCAUGCCGUAUUGUUCAAUUUCAGUCUGUUGCUGCCAGUUGGAUGUGGAUGUUAAAUCCCCAUUGGGCCCCGCUGACAGUAGCAGUGGGGGAAAUUAUAGUGUCAACUCUGCUCACACCACAUUGUUCCUUCUUUUUGCUGCCAAUUGAGAGUGGAGGUUCAGCUACCUGCUAGUUCCUGCUGACACCUGGGACAGGCAGGAGGGACGUGGAGCGCUGAUUUGUUCUGACUAACACAGCUUCAUUAAGUCUCAUUGCUGCUGGGUGGGAGUUGAAGCUCAGCUUGCUGAAUCUUACUGAACAUGGAGUACCAGCUGAUUCUACUGGGUGGCGGGAUGGAAGACCAGCUCCCUACUCGGCUCCACCUAUAUUAACUUGGCUGGGCAAUCAGACCAUCACCUGCUUCUGCUAAGCAUGGAAUGGAAGAUCAGAUCUCCACUUGAUUAUACCAAUCCUACUCCACCAGGGGAACCAGAAUACUUCUGGCUGUUUCUGUGAGGUUGGGGGGAAUAUCAGCUCUCUGCUCAGGCCAGCUAAAACCAAAGAGUUGAGGGGCUGGCCCCGUGGCUGAGUGGUUAAGUUCGCGCGCUCCGCUGCAGGCAGCCCAGUGUUUCGUCAGUUCGAAUCCUGGGCACGGACAUGGCACUGCUCAUCAGACCACGCUGAGGCAGCGUCCCACAUGCCACAACUAGAAGAACCCACAACGAAGAAUACACAACUAUGUA